UUUCAAUGUUUGUGGAUCUCAAGGACCUGUGAUUUUGCAUGGAAACUGGGAAGCUGUGGAGCCCCCCAUCUGCCCUCUGGUGACAAUGUGACAGUAAACAGUCCUGGGGGAAAGCUGGAAGACUGGAGUUUUACACACACAAGUGAGAAAGUGGAGUUGGCCUCAACUCAUGGAAGCCCCAGCUUUGGCCUGUGUCCUGGCUAUCCCUGAAUCCACAACGGUGCCAUGAGUUUGAUAGCAACUUUUGCCA
Non-coding RNA from Castor canadensis (American beaver), 250 nucleotides. NCBI's taxonomy places the organism in Eukaryota, Metazoa, Chordata, Mammalia, Rodentia, Castoridae. The record is from RefSeq and is a predicted model, not a curated record.